AGUCAGGACGAACUUACACUCACUCGUACACUCGUCUAUAUAGUAAAGUUACCCAGCAUGUACAACAGCUGGGUAUCUCUACUGUCGAGACUUUUCACCUGUUCAGCAGAGCAUCCAAGACCAUGUCAUAGUGGUCCAGUAGUUGUGACAGGCAGGAGUGACCUGCUCUAAACCCAUGUUGCCCUGGAUUGUGCAACUGAUGGGUAUCUAAGUGGCUGGUGAUGUGAUUUUUACAAUGUGAGAUGUUAACAUUAUCG
This is a non-coding RNA of Cherax quadricarinatus, 257 nucleotides long. NCBI's taxonomy places the organism in Eukaryota, Metazoa, Arthropoda, Malacostraca, Decapoda, Parastacidae. The record is from RefSeq and is a predicted model, not a curated record.